AAAGCUUUAAGUUAAAAAAACUAUUAACCUUCAAAGUUAAAAUUACAGGCAUUAAUGUAAGCUUUA
RNAcentral lists this transfer RNA (66 nucleotides) under Triatoma dimidiata (kissing bug). RNAcentral's name for it is "tRNA-Trp". The record is from RNAcentral. Lineage: Eukaryota; Metazoa; Arthropoda; Insecta; Hemiptera; Reduviidae.